UCCUUCCUUCUUUCCCGACUCGACUAGGUCAAUAAUUUUGUUGAAUUGUUUCUCGCUAACCUGGAUUAUUUAAAUAAUUCACUCUUAUGGACUUGUCACGUCAGCCAUAAAACUAUCAAAGAAAAUGUUCACCUGUGGUCCGUGCUCAACGCCUUCGUCGAAAGGAUUUCCAACUUUGCGGGCGGCGGCCAUAGCAGCAGCCUUUUUAACAAAUUCAUCGUAGACGUCUUCAUGAACAAACCGCAGCAGCAUUGGCCCAUGUUGGAAAAAAUGGCGUUGAAACAGGUAGAGACGGCAUUAUCCACUACGAUCCGCAUGUAAGGCAAACCACAUCUCUGAAUUGAAUUGAAUUGAUUGAAACAUUAUUAAGAUCUUACAAUCAGCAUCGGGGAAUACGACGAUUGGACUUUUCCCACCAAGUUCCAAGCUAAAACGCUUCAGGUUCGAUUUGGCUGCAUUUUCCAUGAUCAAUCUCCCGACCUUUACAACGUUAUGUUCCAGCAUUUUAGUUAAAACCUCAAAGUAAAAAUAGUUGACUAACACUGUACCGCAGUUGAGCCGGUAAACGCAAUCUUUUGGAUGUUUGGGUGCUUCGUUAAAGCUGUUCCCACUGUAUCACCGAAACCGUUGACCACGUUUAUCACUCCAGCAGGGAAUCCAGCCUGAAAUGUAAAGUGAAUCGUCGUUUAUUACACUUAUUCAAUACAAGAAAAACACAAA
Long non-coding RNA from Daphnia magna, 720 nucleotides. RefSeq lists it as uncharacterized. The transcript is spliced from 2 exons. NCBI's taxonomy places the organism in Eukaryota, Metazoa, Arthropoda, Branchiopoda, Diplostraca, Daphniidae. The record is from RefSeq and is a predicted model, not a curated record.